This 253-nucleotide ribosomal RNA is filed under the name uncultured bacterium. RNAcentral's name for it is "partial 16S ribosomal RNA". It matches the Rfam family "Bacterial small subunit ribosomal RNA", at positions 524 to 776 of the family's 1533-position model. The record is from RNAcentral.
UACGAAGGGUGCUAGCGUUGUUCGGAAUUACUGGGCGUAAAGCGCGCGCAGGCGGCUAUCCAAGUCAGUGGUGAAAGCCCGGAGCUCAACUCCGGAACUGCCAUUGAAACUGUUUAGCUUGAGUAUGAGAGAGGUGAUUGGAAUUCCCAGUGUAGAGGUGAAAUUCGUAGAUAUUGGGAAGAACACCGGUGGCGAAGGCGGCUCACUGGCCCAUUACGGACGCUCAGGCGCGAUAGCGUGGGGAUCAAACAGG